RNAcentral lists this ribosomal RNA (506 nucleotides) under uncultured bacterium. Its description in RNAcentral is "partial 16S ribosomal RNA". It matches the Rfam family "Bacterial small subunit ribosomal RNA", at positions 29 to 523 of the family's 1533-position model. The record is from RNAcentral.
AGUGAACGCUGGCGGUAGGCCUAACACAUGCAAGUCGAACGGCAGCACAGGAGAGCUUGCUCUCUGGGUGGCGAGUGGCGGACGGGUGAGGAAUACAUCGGAAUCUACUCUGUCGUGGGGGAUAACGUAGGGAAACUUACGCUAAUACCGCAUACGACCUACGGGUGAAAGCAGGGGACCUUCGGGCCUUGCGCGAAUGAAUGAGCCGAUGUCGGAUUAGCUAGUUGGCGGGGUAAAGGCCCACCAAGGCGACGAGCCGUAGCUGGUCUGGGAGGAUGAUCAGCCACACUGGAACUGAGACACGGUCCAGACUCCUACGGGAGGCAGCAGUGGGGAAUAUUGGACAAUGGGCGCAAGCCUGAUCCAGCCAUACCGCGUGGGUGAAGAAGGCCUUCGGGUUGUAAAGCCCUUUUGUUGGGAAAGAAAUCCAGCUGGCUAAUACCCGGUUGGGAUGACGGUACCCAAAGAAUAAGCACCGGCUAACUUCGUGCCAGCCGCCGCGGUAA